This 63-nucleotide transfer RNA is filed under the name Tegra novaehollandiae viridinotata. RNAcentral describes it as "tRNA-Ile". Lineage: Eukaryota; Metazoa; Arthropoda; Insecta; Orthoptera; Tettigoniidae. The record is from RNAcentral.
AAUGAUGUGCCUGAAAAAGGAUUACUGUGAUAGAGUAAAUCAUGUAUCAACGUACCUUCAUUA